GGAGAGCCGUCGCACCCGAGAGCACCGCCGCCGGUAAGCUUAAGUUUUCUGUAAUUUUUUGGCCCCCCGAGGGCCCUAGAGUUGUUUAAUCGCAAGGGUCGAUGCAAGUGUGGUCGAAUUCGGCCGAAAACGGCCAAACCGAGGCGAAUCGCCGCCGCUUGCGGCGGCGCCGUCGCCGGAGCACGGCGGAGCCGCCGUGCCGGAGUUGCGAUAUUGGCCGAAAGGGGUCCUGGGCCUAAUUUGGGAUUUUUUGGAACACGUGCAGGUACCAGUAGUGCAU
This 280-nucleotide long non-coding RNA is filed under the name Carica papaya (papaya). RNAcentral describes it as "long non-coding RNA (CPAP_LNC009166)". Lineage: Eukaryota; Viridiplantae; Streptophyta; Magnoliopsida; Brassicales; Caricaceae. The record is from RNAcentral.